This 254-nucleotide ribosomal RNA is filed under the name uncultured bacterium. Its description in RNAcentral is "partial 16S ribosomal RNA". It matches the Rfam family "Bacterial small subunit ribosomal RNA", at positions 524 to 776 of the family's 1533-position model. The record is from RNAcentral.
GACGAACCGUGCGAACGUUAUUCGGAAUCAUUGGGCUUAAAGGGCGCGUAGGCGGGCGACCGCGUCGAGUGCUGAAAGCCCCCGGCUCAACCGGGGAACGGGCCUCGAUACGGGUCGCCUCGAGGCGAGGAGGGGGACCUGGAACUUCCGGUGGAGCGGUGAAAUGCGUUGAGAUCGGAAGGAACGCCGACGGCGAAAGCGAGGUCCUGGACUCGUCCUGACGCUGAGGCGCGAAAGCCAGGGGAGCGAACGGA